RNAcentral lists this ribosomal RNA (253 nucleotides) under uncultured bacterium. Its description in RNAcentral is "partial 16S ribosomal RNA". It matches the Rfam family "Bacterial small subunit ribosomal RNA", at positions 524 to 776 of the family's 1533-position model. The record is from RNAcentral.
UACGAAGGGGGCUAGCGUUGCUCGGAAUGACUGGGCGUAAAGGGCGCGUAGGCGGAAUGCUUUGUCGGGCGUGAAAUCCCCGGGCUCAACCCGGGAACUGCGUCCGAUACUGGGAGGCUUGAGUAUGGGAGAGGGAUGUAGAAUUCCAGGUGUAGCGGUGAAAUGCGCAGAUAUCAGGAAGAACACCAAUGGCGAAAGCAGCUCUCUGGGACGGUACUGACGCUGAGACGCGAAAGCGUGGGGAGCGAACAGG